ACGCUGUACGUAUAUUUAUGCAACAACAACAACAUGGCGUGAUGUGAUAAUUAUUAUGAACUUGCAGCUGGCGCUUACCAGAUACCAUUUCUCCUGAAUAUUUUACAGAUUCUGAUGUUUACGAAUAGAAAAGUGGCGAUAUAAAAAAAGCCUUAUAGUCAUCUUUAAUGUUGCCUGCACGUAUUGUACGUGCAUGACAAUUAAAUAGGAAUAUGAGAAAAAAGUGUACGGCCGAGCGAGGAAAGGUCAUCCUGAAUCCCGUUCGUCCAGACUAAAUGACCAAGGCGCUCACUGAUUAUAAUUGUUAGACGCCGCGACAUAUCAUUGUACAAAAAGGACAAAAGCGCAACAAAUUCGCCAGCUCCCUGUUGCAACAGUGCCGAAAUCUGUACCCGCGCAGAGAAGACUUGCCAAGAUCGAUCUGAGCAAAUUUCGGGUUAAGAUAGUGGUGACCAACCGGCGGCGACGGGGACAUUCUUCGCAUGGGCCAUCGCGACUUUUGGCGAAACAAGGCUGCGAACGUCGAAGAAAUCGAGCUUCGUAUUUAAAGGCAAAGUUUUGGUUGAGUAGGGUAUCGGCCGGCAGUUGGAGCAAAAGAAGACGCGGCAGGACCAUAAGCCUAACGCUUUCAACAACCGCAGCGCCGAGUUCUUGAUCCAGAAAUGGACGACACCGAUCGCGCCACACAGGAAGCGCAGAAGGCAUUUGCUACACAGUACACAUGCCGCUACAAUGCAACUCUGGUGAGCCAUUUCUGUUGAUCGAUAUAUGGGCCGCUGAAAAAAAUACACAGGGAAAUUUAUUUUUGAAGGAAGCUUAUUGACCUUUUUUUUAUUUUAUUUACUUAACACAGUAUCAUGACAAAUUGGUCGAUACAAUAACUUAUUUCAGCAAAUCUUAGUAAAUGAAGAGUUAGAUAUUUAUUGCGAUUAUAAAUCCCAGGCUGGAACCAAACAGGCAAACGCAACUGUGUUAAUAUUCAGAUUAAAAUUGACGCAACUGCUUUAAAAUCUGACUAAAUCACAUUCAAC
Paramacrobiotus metropolitanus is the source of this 1031-nucleotide long non-coding RNA. RefSeq lists it as uncharacterized. The record is from RefSeq and is a predicted model, not a curated record. The transcript has 3 exons. Lineage: Eukaryota; Metazoa; Tardigrada; Eutardigrada; Parachela; Macrobiotidae.